CUGGAUUCGGCAGCAAGCCGGCGAUGAGUACCAGUAUCUGAAAAUACCACGUCUCAAGACAAAGCAUCACCGCUGACGCACUUGACAGUUUCAAAAACUCCGGCAGGCCGGAGAACGCCUGCACACUGAACCCUGCCCACGUCAGCCGGCAUCGCCUGCUAGUCACUAUGUACACAAACUGCGCCGCCACAGUAAUCCACCACGACAAGCUCAGCACCAGCGAAGCUCCGAUCAGCCCCAACCCCAACUUGUACACAGCCAACCAGCUCAACAAAAG
This 277-nucleotide unclassified non-coding RNA is filed under the name Hevea brasiliensis (rubber tree). Lineage: Eukaryota; Viridiplantae; Streptophyta; Magnoliopsida; Malpighiales; Euphorbiaceae. The record is from RNAcentral.